AGUGAAUAGAUACCCAGGUAGUCCACGCCGUAAACGAUGAGUACUAGGUGUAGGGGGUAUCGACCCCCCUGUGCCGCAGUAAAAACACAAAUAAGUACUCCGCCUGGGAAGUACGAUCGCAAGAUUAAAACUCAAAGGAAUUGACGGGGACCCGCACAAGCAGCGGAGCAUGUGGUUUAAAUUCGAAGCAACGUGAAGACCUUACCUGGACUUGACAUCCCCUGAAUAACUCGUAAUGGAGGAAGCCCUUCGGGGCAGGGAGACAGGUGGUGCAUGGUUGUCGUCAGCUCGUGUCGUGAGAUGUUAGGUUAAGUCCUGCAACGAGCGCAACCCCUGUCGUUAGUUGCCAUCACGUAAAGGUGGGCACCCUAACGAGACUGCCGCGGUUAACGUGGAGGAAGGUGGGGAUGACGUCAAAUCAUCAUGCCCCUUAUGUCCAGGGCAACACACGUGCUACAAUGGGCAGAACAGAGAGAAGCAAUACCGCGAGGAGGAGCAAAUCUCAAAAACUGCCCCAGUUCGGAUUGCAGGCUGAAACCCGCCUGC
Molecule: ribosomal RNA, 546 nt
Filed under: uncultured bacterium
Lineage: Bacteria
Description: bacterial SSU rRNA
Rfam family: Bacterial small subunit ribosomal RNA
Source: RNAcentral